Molecule: transfer RNA, 89 nt
Filed under: Dickeya solani
Lineage: Bacteria; Pseudomonadati; Pseudomonadota; Gammaproteobacteria; Enterobacterales; Pectobacteriaceae
Description: tRNA-Asn
Rfam family: tRNA (bases 22-79)
About the family: Transfer RNA (tRNA) molecules are approximately 80 nucleotides in length. Their secondary structure includes four short double-helical elements and three loops (D, anti-codon, and T loops).
Source: RNAcentral
UCAUUCUGGUGGUCUUGACAGGAAGUGGAUUCUGAUACGGCGGACUGUUAAUCCGUAUGUCACUGGUUCGAGUCCAGUCAGAGGAGCCA